Long non-coding RNA from Cavia porcellus (domestic guinea pig), 344 nucleotides. RefSeq lists it as uncharacterized. The record is from RefSeq and is a predicted model, not a curated record. Lineage: Eukaryota; Metazoa; Chordata; Mammalia; Rodentia; Caviidae. The transcript is spliced from 3 exons.
UUCUUCAGUCAUGAGAAACUCACAACUGCGGUGACAUCAUACCCAGCCAGGAGGCUCUCCCCAGCCUUCUUCUCCGCCCUAAGUCAAAGCCGUCUAAUUAGCACCUUUAACUGGAACUCUAUCUUAUAAAAACCAACUGGAGAAGGUCUUGCUGUGCUGCUUAGGCUGGUCUUAAACUCCUGGGCUCAAGUGAUCCUUUUGCCUCAGCCUCCUAGGGCAAGGUACCAACUGGAGACAUCCUCUGCACCUCCAAAGCCCCUGAAGUGAUUCAAAUGAGCCGGUCCUAAACUAUGUACAUGCUCUGCCUUGAGUUUCCCGUGGAAAGCCAAUAAAUGUUGUGGUCU